Vicia faba (fava bean) is the source of this 288-nucleotide non-coding RNA. The record is from the annotation of a GenBank genome assembly. Lineage: Eukaryota; Viridiplantae; Streptophyta; Magnoliopsida; Fabales; Fabaceae.
AUGAGACAUAAACUUCUGUUUCCCCCUUUCUCUAUAGCGUUUCACGCUGCCGUCCCAAAAUCAACUUGUCCUCUCACUCCUCUUUGCCCGUCCUGUAACCGUCUAACCUUUAACUACAAUUCAGUUCUCACUCCUCCCUGCUUCUGCAUUCAUAUUAGCCAACACAUUGAAGUUUUAUUCUCUCCUUUAGCAAGGAGAAUUUCAAUUUUGGUGAACAUAACUUCAUUCCGACGUCUAGACGGUUCCUGUAGUCACCUAUCUUAUUCUGCCUCAGACCUUCAUGAUUGA